Bison bison bison is the source of this 107-nucleotide small nuclear RNA. The record is from Ensembl. NCBI's taxonomy places the organism in Eukaryota, Metazoa, Chordata, Mammalia, Artiodactyla, Bovidae.
AUGCUAGCUGCAGAAGCACAUAUACUAAAAUUGGAAUGAUACAGAGAAGAUUAGCAUGGCCCCUGUGCAAGGACGACACAUUAAUUCAUGAGCCAAUCUAUAUUUUG